RNAcentral lists this ribosomal RNA (311 nucleotides) under Clostridioides difficile. RNAcentral describes it as "bacterial LSU rRNA". It matches the Rfam family "Bacterial large subunit ribosomal RNA", at positions 883 to 1194 of the family's 2925-position model. Lineage: Bacteria; Bacillati; Bacillota; Clostridia; Peptostreptococcales; Peptostreptococcaceae. The record is from RNAcentral.
CAAGGUGAGAGAUACGGAGGUAGAGCACUGAAUGUCCUAGGGGGUAUUGCACCUACCGAAGACUAUCAAACUCCGAAUGCCGUCAUCUUAUACUUGGGAGUCAGACUGGGGGUGAUAAGAUUCAUAGUCGAAAGGGCAACAGCCCAGAUCGUCAGCUAAGGGCCCUAAAUGUAAGUUAAGUGGGAAAGGAUGUGGGAUUGCACAGACAACCAGGAUGUUGGCUUAGAAGCAGCCACUCAUUCAAAGAGUGCGUAAUAGCUCACUGGUCGAGUGAUCCUGCGCCGAAGAUUUCCGGGGCUAAAACUUACUAC